This 71-nucleotide transfer RNA is filed under the name Clostridiales bacterium. RNAcentral's name for it is "tRNA-Trp". It matches the Rfam family "tRNA". Rfam says of the family: Transfer RNA (tRNA) molecules are approximately 80 nucleotides in length. Their secondary structure includes four short double-helical elements and three loops (D, anti-codon, and T loops). Lineage: Bacteria; Bacillati; Bacillota; Clostridia; Eubacteriales. The record is from RNAcentral.
AGGGGUAUAGUUCAAGGGUAGAGCGCUGGUCUCCAAAACCAUCGAUGAGGGUUCGAAUCCUUCUACCCCUG